Molecule: transfer RNA, 88 nt
Filed under: Myxococcales bacterium
Lineage: Bacteria; Pseudomonadati; Myxococcota; Myxococcia; Myxococcales
Description: tRNA-Ser
Rfam family: tRNA
About the family: Transfer RNA (tRNA) molecules are approximately 80 nucleotides in length. Their secondary structure includes four short double-helical elements and three loops (D, anti-codon, and T loops).
Source: RNAcentral
GGAGAGGUGGCCGAGCUGGUUGAAGGCGCCUGAUUCGAAAUCAGGUUUUGGUUAACGCCAAACGGGGGUUCGAAUCCCUCCCUCUCCU